UGAUAUAUUUCUUACGCUCGUUACUGUUAACACAUGCGGUAGUCCAUUGCGCAAAACUCGGUCAGGCUUCGAAAUAUGCGCGGAUCAUCAUACAUGGGAAACUAAAGUUAGGUGGUGUGACUUGGUUCUCAUCGUUUAGGUCUCUUAUAUACCUGGUGACAUCGCGUUCUUAUAUGUGGCCCCUUUCCUAUUCCUAUUUUUGUUUCGGAGUCUUGUUGGUUAAGUAAUUUCAGCCAUUUGUUAUUGUUUAGACUAAAGGAGCCGGUUUUCGAUACUUCUAGACAACAUUUAAGGUACCAAGCUUUUUUCUGAGUGUUGUAGUGCUGGAGAAAGUAAUAAGAACAAAGAACUCCCGUUUUUUCUAGUCCCUUGAUUCUGUGUACUAGACCCAAAGUGGUCGGACCCUUUCCCAGACCCUGCGCAAGCGGGAGCUACAUGCACUGGGGCUGCCCUUGAUUCUGUGUGUGGUGUUCUGUUUGAAGUUUUAUGCCUGAUCUAUUAUUUCCUAUGAGAAUCUUUUGGUUAUAGAGCAUGUUGAAUGCAGAAUGCUCUACACCGGACUACUGCCGGUCUACUGCUUACUAGCGCAUGCAGGCAGGAAGACCCUCCCAGAAUUUUGUUUUGAGCACAAAAGCAAAUCCUAGAAUUGCUAAAAUUUGAUUACAAAUGACCUAAGGGCUUGCCAGGCUUGACGGCUCGGGUCGAUGGGGGUGGGCUGCCGGCACCGGAGAAGUAAGGUGGUAGUCGGGGUUUUGGCCCCUUCUUUGUUUUGCGAAAUGCAGCGUUGAGCUUUCUUCAAGAUCCCACUCCUACUUUCUCAGAGGGAGGAGAUUGCACUUGUACCGAUUUCGGUUGCCCGCCAUCACCCUAUUCUGCUCAUCCAGCUCACUAGCACCUCGAUUUCCAAAUUCCUAUGUUCUCUACUCUCUCUUGAACUAAAACCGAGACAAUUAUUUUGGGACAGGGGGACAAUUUAAAAUAAGGGCAAUUAUUUGGGGACAGGGGGACUGACUCACUGACAGUACCAAGAACCACUGGCUGCCGAACCGAGCCAGGGUUUUUUUUUUUUGAGAACGAACCGAGCCAGGGUUGAUGAGGAAGAGAGUUGCUAAUUGUGGUUGCGGCAUGGUCCUGAUUCCUGAAACAUGACACCACCAUGAUGAUGAUGUAUAAGAGCAUGGUUAAUAGUAUAGCCAACUGUUGUUGGCUAUAUGAUGUUGCCAUGCCAUAUAUAGUCAUCAUUUAUAGUCACUCAUCUACCAUGUUAAAGUUAUACAAUAUGAAAAUUUAAGUCAUGACAUAUCUAUUAAUAUUGAUUUCAUAUUGUGAAUGUUAGCAUUUUAUUUAUAAAGUUGGUCAAACUUUACAAGGUUUGACUUUAGACAAAUUUUAUAUGCAAACUAAAAAGGACCUGAGGGAGUACUAAUAUACAGACUAAAUAAAAACGGAAGGAAUACAAAGUUAGUUGAGUAGGAGGGAGUGGUAUGAUUUCCUUCUUGAUUUGCGUUCACUACCAUGUGUACAUUUUGGCCACUUGAUAAACGUCUGUCUUUUCUAAAGAAAAGAAAGAUAAAUGUCUGUUCGACCCGUUGUUUGGGAUUCUCUUCAGUGUCAAGCUCGUUGGACCCGUUGGUCUUGGGGCUUUUCGGCAUCAUCAGGUCACUACAAAACAGGCUUCUGUGUUCAUUCAGACAUUAAAAGCCUACUGCAUGCUACCCGCGGUUGAUUGUCACAUACUACAAGUUUGCACCGUUGCAUUCAGUCCGUCGUUGUUACUGUACUGCUUGCGGUUCAAGAACAGCAGUGCCCCACAUGCAUAUGUUCAUGCAUGAUUGUACUGCCUGCACAUGGACCUUACUGGUACGUACGUACUGUAUUUCGUUGUACUAUCUGCAUCGCAGCUCAGCGUGCGGGUUGCGUGUCUGAACUGUGUGACUGGGACAACGAUCUGUGCACAGGAAUCAGGUGAUCGAAUGGCAACCCUGCUGCAGCUCAAAGGGCGGUUGCGGUUGCGUACAUCAACCCCACAAGCCACCGCAAAUAUCAACGUGGCCGGCCCGGUUUUGCCAUUUAUGUCUGGACACACAAAGAGCAAAAUCACUAUGAUCUGCCAAUCUAGGGAAAAUGUUGGGACCCCCUAUGAGAUCCCUCUCCUCUCCUCCCGGUCCCGGCCCUGGCCGAUCGAGCUUGCCGCCAGCCUUGUGCCAGCAGGUAGUCCUAGGACCGGACCUUUCAAAUCCAUCUUAUACGCCCACGCGGGUCGCCUGGUCACGAUUUCUUGACCUAGACAGACCCUUCAAAUGGCCCUCAAAUGCCCGGGCUGACCGGCAUCCUCAUAUCCAGCCCAAAUAUGGGGUAGAUAUGAAGGCGUCCGGGCGUGCCUGAACACGACCGCCACGUCGGACCCGACAACCCGACCCUAUCUCAAAUUGCACCAAAUCCCCCUCCCCUUCCUUCGAGCCGCCGAAUUCAUUUGCUCUCUCCUCUCUUCUUCCUCCUCUGUGUCGUCCUGCUCGCAGCUCCGUUGUCGCGCCCUUCGCAGCUGUUCCCAGGCUCUCCGCCACCAGCUCCAGAAGAGCGCUCCCGUCUUCGCCGGCCCGGACGCCACCAUGGUACGUUCGGCAACUCUCCGGCUCCGCCUUGCGCUUGAUGUGUUCGACACAUUGACUGACCGAAAUUAUUGUGAUUUUGUUAGGUAAAUGAUGGACUCCGAUGCUUCGUCGGACGAGGCGUAUGGACCGACGGAGCUUGACCAAAUGAUUCAAGAUGAGUUCUUCGAUUGUCGGAUUCGGACGAAGAAAUGGACAUGAUCAUGCUCAUGGGCAUGUAAGAGGAAAUGGAUCGGCAAGUGGAGCAUAUUCUCAACUUUAAGGGCUCAAUCAAAGGGAGAAGAGUGAUCAACCGGGACAGGGUGUCUGGAGCAAAGCUACUGCACAAUGACUACUUUGCUCCCACACCUGCUUUCCCCUAUGAUCCAUGGUUUCGUUGCCGUUUUCGCAUGUGGAAACCAUUGUUUUUGCGCAUUGUGGAGGGACUGGAGGCACACGGCGACUACUUCAAGCUGAGAAGGGAUUGUUGCGGCCAACUUUCUUUCUUGGCCAAGCAGAAGUGCACGGCUGCUCUAAGGAUGCUUGCACUUGGUACUGCUGCAGCGCCGUUGGUGAGAUGGUCAGGAUGGGGGAGAGCACGUACCUCAAGACUAUUGCCAAAUUUGUUUGCGCCAUGGUUGAGGUGUUUGGCCCGGAGUAUCCCAGAGAACCAAAUACGCAUGACACAGAGAAGUUGUUGGCUAUUGGAGAGGCAAGGGGUUUCCAGGAAUGCCCGGAUCAAUUGAUUGCAUGCAUUGGCAAUGGAAAAACUGCCCCAAAUGUCUACGGGGAAUGUAUCAAGAUCACACCAGAGAGGCCACCAUCAUACUAGAAGCGGUGGCAUUACAUGACUUAUGGAUUUGGCAUGCUUUCUUUGAAAUGUCCGAUUCUCACAACGACAUCAAUAUGCUUCAACGAUAUUCGGUGUUCAGGAGGCUUUGCAAUGGGGAAUGACCGUCGUGCAACUACAUCGUCAACGGUCGGGACUACAACAUGGGGUACUAUCUUGUUGAUGGUAUCUAUCCUCAGUGGGCGGCGUUUUGAAGACCAUAUCGGAGCCACUUUGCAACAAUGCGGAUCUGGAGCGGCGGCUCCCCUGGCGAGGCACGGCAGGCUCCUGCGAGCAGCCGUGCGGACGAUGGAUCCGGCGUCCUGGCCGCGUGGGGCGGCGUUUGUGAAGACCAUAUCGGAGCCGCGUGGCAAUAAACAGAGCCACUUUGCAACAAUCUGGAUCUGGAACGGCGGCUCCUCUGGCGAGGCACGACAGGCUCGAGCGAGCAGCCGUGCGGGCGGUGGAUCCGGCGUCCUGGCCAUGUGGGCGGCGGGAUCCCAGUGGUCGUUGGCGGCUGGCGGCGGUCGGUGUGCGCGACCUGGCGCCUCCCCUCCUCCCCUGUUCGGCGUGCGGGCCAGCCUGGUAGGGCCGCGCCUCCCUUGGUCGCCGGUUCAGUACAGGAGGCACUGCUGGUGGCGGGGAUUUAGUUCGGGAGAAAUCCCUGGCCGACCAUGACAGGUCGCGCCGACGGCUACGCCUGAGGGCGUCGUUCUCCUGCUUGGAGGCGUCAGUAUGGAUUAAUCUCCUCACUUCCCCUUCCCCUAGGUCUCCCGGGCGAAAGCCCUAACUUUGUUGGGCGGCGGCGGCGCUCAUGGUGCCGUUCCCUUCUUGAAGGCGCUGCUUUGGGAACCUUGGGGUUGGGUGGCGCUUGCGGGUGGUGGGCGACGGCGGUGGCGCGGUCCUAUCCUAGCAUGGAUCUACGUCCGUUGCUUGGAGAUGGAUUCGCGUUCGUGGAGGUCGACGUUUGGCGUCGUGGUGGCGUCGAGGUGGAGGACCUGCCAAGGCUCUCGUAGGUGGAGGUCGUCGUUUGGCGUCGUGGUGGUGUCGAUGGCGGAGGACCUGUCAAGGUUGACACCUCAAUCUACUCUGAAGACGGACCAGUGGAAGAAGGCGACGACGACACAUGUGAGUGCGUCGGACCGGUUUGUGCCCUGGACCUGGCAGAUGGCUCGAUCGGGGCCUCCGAGUUUAGAUGUUAGGCUUAGGUGAGAGGUCUGGGUAUGUGGCCCAGCUUGCACCCUUUCAUCAUAUGGAUAGGAGUAGCGGCAGAUUGCCAAGAUGGUGGAUUCAGACAUAUUUUUGUUCUACUUUGUAAGAUUCUUAAGAAUAAUCAAUAAAAUGGCCGCAUGCAUCCCCCAGAUGUAGAGGCCGGGGACCAUCCUCCUUUUCUAAAAAAACUUUGCAACAAUGCAGGAAGCGGCUAGGAAGGACGUGGAGAGGGCAUUUGGUGUGCUUCAAACUCGUUGGGGAAUUAUGCGGAGCGCUGCAAUGAUGUGGGAAUCGGAAACUUUGUGGUAGCUGAUGACAUGUUGUGUUAUUCUGCACAAUAUGAUUGUCGAGGAUGAGGGUGAUGGUGUAGAAACCCAUGAUUUUGAAGCACGCGGAUGACAAGUUGAAAUCCCGGAAGAUCAAGAUGCGGCUCAACUUAUGAACUUUCUACGGAUGCACCAGAAUCUUCGAAAUCAGCAGGUGCACGCGCAGCUACUCAAUGAUCUCGUGGAGUACAUGUGAAUCUACAAUGGCAACCAAAGAGGCAAUGCUUGAGUUUGACACUUCAAAUAAAUUUUAUGUAAACGCUAUAUAUGCUUGAUACCAAUAAUUGCUAUUUACAUGCGAUAUUGGGUGGCAUGGUCGACAUGCAUGUAUUUGCUUGAAUUUGAUAGUUCGGAUUGGAGAUAUGUGGAUGCACAGAAGAAAAUAUGAGGGCCCGUUCGGAUGCGCCCGCAUGCGUAUCCGGACGCGUCCGCGGAAGUUUGAGGGGCCAAAUUUAUCAAGUCCGGUUGUAGAUGCUCUAAGUUUGUUGGCUUGUGCUUGCAUGAUUUUGUAUCUUAAUAAUGUACUGCAAACGGUGAUCACGAUGAUACGCGUACCUCCCGUGUGUCGUCGAAAAUAUAAGCACGCGGGCUUAUGUUUCGAGUGUUGUAGUGCUGGAGAAAGUAACAAGAACAAAGAACUCCCGUUUUCUUUUUUCUUUCUAGUCCCUUGAUUCUGUGAGUGGCUUGUUGUUUGAAAUUUUGUGAUUGGGAUGUGUUCCCUGAUCUUGUAUUUCAUAUGAGAAUCUUUUGGUUAAGGAGCAUGUUGAAUGCAGGCAGAGUGCUCUACACUGGACUACUGCCUGUCCGCUUUUUUUUGGCCCUUUUUUGCGAAAUGCAGCGUUGGGCUCGUAGUACAGAUCCGUUGUUGUACGUGGGCAGAGCAGAGGAGGCAUGCAUGGAGCACAUGGGGCGAUAUAUUUUCUGACUUGAGUGAGAGGGCUACGGAGGGAGAGCAGCAGAGUCACGGUCCGAGCUUUGAAUGAAGGAGGAGAUACGGCACGAUGAUAUUUGAUCCACGUGACGUGAAGUCCUCAUUAGCACAGGACAAGUUCGUGCACAGCCUGGCCCCUUUAUAAACGUUUGCGUCUGCUCCCCAUGUCUGCUGCUUCAGGCUCAGUUCGACUGGGAUUCUACAGUAUCAAGUAAUUUGAACUGAAACCACGACACUUUAUUUUGGAUCGGAGGGAGUAGUAUCAAGCUGAUUUCUAUUUGUUUGGGCUUCAUUCUCUCCAGCGUGAAGCUUGUUCGAUCCGUUUCGUUUGGGAUGUUUCAGCAGCAGGUACGAACACAUGCGUCCAUGUUCAUUCAUACUACUAGUAUGUGCUUACAAGUUUGAACCACUGCAUUCAGUCGAAUCGCUAUUAGCUGCCUGCACUUGCACGUGUCAACUGUCAAGGGCAGUGCCAUCGAUGUUAGCUGCACUUGCACGUGUGUCUGUGUCAUUACACUGCUUGCACAAGAAUUCACGUUUCCAAAGAGACGUCUACCAGUACUCCCUCCGUCCGAAAAUACUUGUCAUCAUAAUGGAUAAAAGGGGAUGUAUCUAGAUGUAUUUUAGUUCUAGAUACAUAUUUUUUUAUCCAUUUUGAUGACAAGUAUUUUGGGACGGAGGGAGUAGAAGAUAGCUCAGGUGCAUGUACCUGCAUGAUCGUACUACUUGCAUGAAAUGAACCCUACUACCAUUUCCUUGUAGCAUCUGCAUUACAGCACAGCAUGUCGUGGUUGCGUGCAUGAACUGGGUGAUUUGGACAACUGUGCUGUUGCUCGACGUGUAUGCCACCGCCAAUAUCGACGUGCCUUGUUUCGCCAUUUAUGUCUCUAAACACAGAGAGGGAAAUCACUGUAGAGUUCUUAGAACUGCCACUCUAGGAAAAUGUUGGGACCCCAUGACCAGGAGGCUCCUCACCGUUUCGUCCUGGCCGAUCGGGCUUGCGGCCAGCCUUGUGCCAGCACCAGUCCUUUUCUAAGUUUGUUUCUCUGUGCUUGUAUGAUUGUAUCUACUAUCUUAAUGUAAAUGGUCAUCAUGAAUUUAUGCUGAUACGCAUAUCUCCUGCGUGUUGUCGGGGAUGGACCCAGAACACAGGGUAUCUCUGAACGUUUUCGAUCGCAAGUUUAGUUACGUGAGGAUGAUAAUUUUAGUUGGCAAGUAUGACAACUUUCGUGUUUUAGUUUGUUUUCGGCAGAAACUUAUUAUAUCACUGGAAUUUGUCAUCCUUGUGUGACUAGGAUCGCCAUCGAAAAACGUUAGGGUUGGAAUGCCGCGCAUCUGACGUGUGCCACUUAUCAUUUGGGUAUAUAUAAGCACGCGGGUAGCGUUCAGGCUUGUUAUUCAUCUUGUGCACAGAUCACGCUCUUUGCUCCUGGAAGAGAAGAAAGCACGAUAUACGUGAGAGCGCAGCCCGAAGUAUGCAUUUCGCUCUUGCUUCUUUCUUCUAGUGUUUGCAUGACUUCGUUCUCCUAUCACUCGCCGGCUGUGUGUGACGGUUUAUCAUCUUGUUCGAGUCUUCCAGGGCAGUAGUGGAGCACCGCAGCGUGCGAGCCAACGCAGGCAUGGCGACGGCGGAGGCAGACGUCGGCGCCCCCGCGAGCGUGACCGCGCCGAUGAUGCUGCACGGGCGCGUGGCGAUCGUCACGGGCGGCGCCGGCGGGAUCGGCUCGGCCGUGUCGCGGCACCUGGCGUCCCUCGGCGCGCGCGUGGCCGUCGCCUACGUCGGGGACCCGGCGCCGGCGCGGGACCUCGUGGCCGGCAUCAACGCCGCCGCGCACGGAGCCGACCAUGAUCCGCGCGCCGUGGCGGUGGAGGCGGACGUGUCGGACACGGCGCAGGUGCGGGCGCUGUUCGACGCGGCGGCGGCGGCGUUCGGCGGGGAGCUGCACGUGCUGGUGACGGCGGCGGCGGUGAUGGACACCUCCUACCCGCUGCUGGCGGACACGAGCGAGGCGACCUACGACGCGGCCUUCGGCACCAACGCGCGGGGCACCUUCCUGUGCCUCCGCGAGGCGGCGCGCCGGCUGGCCCGCGACGGCCGCGGCCGGAUCGUCACCUUCUCGUCGUCCGGGGUCGGGUCGCUGCGGCCGGGCUACGCGGCGUACGCGGCCAGCAAGGCGGCCGUGGAGACCAUGACGAGGAUCCUGGCGCGGGAGCUGCGGGGCACCGGGAUCACCGCCAACGCCGUGGCCCCCGGGUCCACGGCCACGCCCAUGUUCUACGGCGGCAAGACGGACGAGGAGGCGGAGCGGUACAUCGCGGAGGCGCCGCUGGGGAGGCUGGGGAUGCCCGAAGACAUCGCCCCGCUCGUGGGCUUCCUCGCCAGCGACGCCGGCGGGUGGGUCAACGCCCAGGUCCUGCGCUGCAACGGCGGCACCAUCUGACAUGAUCAGUGUUCGAGUGUUUCGUUGGCUUCGCAGCAGUGCUCUUUUUUCUCUCGCUGUUGGAACUGUGUAUGUGUGUGUUUUUGUGCGUUAUCCGUGUUGUUGCGGUGGACUUUCUUGUGGAAUUAUGGUUGCUAUCACGACACAGAGCAUCUCCGGCCGCGUCCCUAACGAAGUCCUUCAGACGAUUUUUCAGCCGUUGGUGUCAAAAAAUCGACCCAGUCACGUCCCAAGGACUCAUUUUUCGCCUGCUCGGACCGAAAUUAGCACCGGCGGAUCCAACCCGAACCCGGCGCGCUGGGGGGCACUCGGGGGCGCCGGGCGAAUCGUUUUUUGCGCGAAAGAGCCGCGGGCCCUCCUUGCCAGCGACUCGUCUCUCUUCCCGCCGCUUCGUUGUCCUUGUCGCCUCGUUUCCCGCGGCGAAUCAAUGCCAAAGCUGCCGCGCGCUGCCGCGCCGGUCAGCCUCCUCCAUUGAUGCCGCACGGGCGGCGCGGUGACCGGACGACGCGCGUCCCCUCGCCCGCCACGCGUACGAGCGGCGUCUCCGCCUACAUAAGCCGAACCCCAGCGUGUCGGUGACACGCACAGAAUCUCCACCACCGCAGCGUCAUUUCUCCCCCUUUCCUCCCUCUCCUCUCGUCGUCUCCAGUUCAAAGCAUGGCCGAGCGCUUCCCAGGCGACGGUGCGGCGGCGAACGGCUUCGGCCGCCGCCACCUUCACGAGGACGAAACUCGGCUCCUCUUCGAGGCCGAGUACCCGGUCCCGCCGGACAUGCGGGUACCGGGGGCGUGGAGGAUCAGCGCCAGCGGGGUCCCGGUGCCACCACCGCCCACCGGGGCGGCGCGACGUGCGGAGAUCGCGCGUAUCCACGCCUCUCUACCGCGGGCGGCGAGGGAAGAUUCGCAGUAUGUCCCCGACAGCCCGCUCUGGGAGCCAUACUUUCGCCGCCGCCACGCCGAGCAGCUAGAGGCCACCAACGACGUCGUGCCCUCCGGAAGGCUCAACUCCGAAGGCCGGCGCUGAUGGGAGGGCGUGCCCGGCCGCACGCUGGAGGCCGUCCUCGAGUACAUCGAGGGCCGCAACACGCCGAGGCUGGAGUACCCCGCUCCCCCGUCCAUCUCUCGCCGGCGUGGGAGCUCGUGGACACCGAGGCGCAUGGAUCUGGGGGCGUCCUCCUCCUCGUCCGGCCGCUCGUCCGACUCUCCCUGCCUCCGCCCCGUCAAGCCGGAGCCCCAGGACACGCCUGUCAGCGCACGCACCCGCAGCUCCGGCGUCUGCAUCGACGACUCCGCCCCCGCCUCUGGCCGCCUCGUCCUCGACAGGACGAAGCCGGAGCUCGGCCUCCCCACGGAGUACGAGGAGAUAGCCCGGCGCGGCUUCUCCGACGAGGACGCUCUACGAUGGGCGCGGGACGACUACCUCCGCGACGAGAUGGUCCGGCAGCGUCGGGCCCUGGAGGAGAUAACCGCCCGCAAACGUGGGCGCGAGGACGAGUGCGGCGUCGUGAUCUUCGACAGUGACGACGACGAGGAUUCCCCUGGACCGUCCAACCCGCCGCGCCAACCGGGGGAGGGUUGUAGCAGGGACGGCGACUGCGGAGGAGGCGGCGGCGACGACGACGACGACGGCGGCGGCGGGCGGCGAGGAGCGGCGAGGGAGACGACGAGAAGCAGCCUAGUAGCGUUUUUUUUUCUUUUUUGUAAAAUAUUUUAAAUAUGUACGAACUCGCCGAAGUUUGGUUGAAUUUGCGCCGUGUUUGUGCCGAAAUUAUUUUUUUUUAAAACGUGGGCGCCGCGACUGGUGAACAUCACGCCUCCAGCAUGCGGUUUGCGCCGGUGCGCCCCCAGGGGGCGAUUUUUAGCGCCUCCUAGGGGGCCAACGGCUGAAGAUGCUCUCACGAGUUAGGCAUUCCUCUCUUCUAGUACUCCCUCCGUCCGAAAAUACUUGUCAUAGAAAUGAAUACAAAUGGAUAUAUCUAAAACUAAAAUAUAUCUAGAUACAUCCAUUCCUUGAACAAGUAUUUUUGAAUUGAGAGAGUACUACGUAUUGAGUGUGUGUUGGUCUCUGCGUGUUUUAUUCACAAACACUGUUGGAAAUUGGGGUGUGAAUUUUGGUGGACUGGAGAUAUGAUAACACUCCUCGUAUCCUUAGACGAGAAAUUGGGAUUUUAAUUUUGGUGGACUAGAAAUGUACUAAAAUUGAAACCCGUAUAGGGGAGUCGCCCUCUCAUUCCAUACCACAUAACAUAUUAGUAGGUUCAAGAUUGCAGGGGAUUUAUUCGACCAUGUAGCGAGGGAAUUUGGCACCAGCCACCAUGGGAAGACGCAUAUUUAGGGGGAGGAGGGGACCUUAUAUGUUCUUUCAGAUGGCGCGACAACCAUUUGGUGCUCUGUUCGAGGCGUUUGUUAAAGGACACUCACGCUCGUCCAUAGCAAAGCGAUAAGCCGACUGCAUAGUGAAGAUGCAAGUCUUCUUUUAUUAUGAUGCAUGUUUAGUAUACUGUCAUAUGAAAAGAUUGUAAUCUUGGUGAAAAUCAUAAAAAUGACUUGGACUUCGGAUGAGGAUUUGUGGCUCUCGGCUGCCACACACCCCUAUAUAAACAAUAGGACUAGAAAAUAUAUUAGGAAAAUUAAAAAAAUUAUAGAAUAUUAGGAUAUGAAACUUGAGUGCCUGUUGUACACGCGUGUUCAGUUUCAUGGGUAAUCGGUGCUUGUGGUAAUGGCAAUAAAAAAGAUAAAAAAUGUAUAUGUGUAGAAAAAAAACUUAAUGCAAGGUAUGUUGGACCAUACUUUCUACGCUGCGGAUACCAUGGGCACCCAUUCCCCACGAAAAUAUACACGGGUGUACAACGGACACUCGGGUUUCAUAUUCCAGAAUUUCAGAAUUUGUCAAAAGAAUGAUAUUUUUUAAUGCUAUUCAUAUAGGGGCGUGUGACACCCGAGUGCUGCAUGCAUUAUCCCUUGGACUCCUUGCUUAGUAAAUAAUUUCCUGGUGGUAGAACCCUUGUUGGAUCUUUGCAACCACACACUAUGUAAGGCUGGUCAUAGUGGGGAGUAACUUAUACUAGUGUCAUGCAUAUAACACUAGUCUAAGUUACUAUCUUCAUAAUAUGUCAUAUGUGGCUUUAUUUAAUGGCUUGUAGACUCAUCUUGUCUUGGGAAGCGCUAUGUUACAGUAACAUAUUAUGUUACCACUUCUCAUUAACUACGUGCCAAAUAAGCAAAAAAAUUUUAAAGUGCGCUAUGUUACUACCGAAGUUACUCCCACCAUGACUAGCCUAAAUAAUGAAUUAGUAAUGCAUCAAGAGCUAUUGAAUGAGUGUUCUUGUAAACAUUACUACUAGUAUGUCGAUUGCUACACCUUUUUCUCUCUUUGGUCCAUGCACAAACAAUUUCUUUGUGUUAAUACCACUUUUGUUGUUUUAAUACAUAUUUCCUCUGUCCGGUGAAAAGUGUACAUCUAACUUCAAAAUUUGUUCACAAAAGAGUGUAUUUCUAUCUUCCCAAUGCAUUUUAAAGUAGGAAAACAUAUUUCUCUCUCAUCACAUGAUAAUCAAGGCCAAUAGCAAUCUACACAUGGUCUUCUUAAUUUCUACAUGCACUUAGCUCAUUGAGGGUUGGGUAAUUAAAAAGGAGAGAGAUGGUGGCUUACACUUUUCCAAUGCAUUUUUUACUUAACUCCAUAAUCUGUCCUAAAAUUUCUAGAUGUACACUCUUCAUCGGACGGAGGAAGUAUGUCAUCAAUGUUGACCCUACAUGGAGGCAUAUACUUGACAAUUUCUAUUGGGAGGGUAAUGGAAGGCCAAGGUCUACACGGAAGGGUGCUUUUUAAUUAAGUUUCCGUCUCUCAAAAACUAAAUGAAAUGAGCCAUUAUAAUUAUAAUCACUAUAUUCAGGCAAACUACAACCUCUAUUGCCAAGUAGAAAUUGUAGGCUCAUCAACACCUCGCUCACAUUAAUAGCGGUGUCGGAGGAUGUGUGGAGGUGUGUCUCCGUCGGAUCUCAUGGGAUUCGAUCGGUGCUGGUCUUUGGUGGAUCUAUUUGGAUCCAGAUUUUGUUUGUCUUCAUUUGUGGGGUUCCAGGUUUGUUCUUUCCGAUCUACAACUCUCUUCAUCGGCGAUGGUUGCUGCUCUGGUGUGGUCGUUUGGGACCUUAGCACAAUGACUUCCCGACUGUCUACUACAGUAAGAUUUGCUCGGCUCCGGUGAUGGAGGGGCGAUGAUGGCGGCGUGCCUUCGGCUCGCUCCAGUGCUUGUAGUCGUCGUUAGGUGGUCCAUAAACCUGGUUGUAAUUUUUAUUACUUCUUGUGUUCUCUGUACUGCCAUGAUUGAUGAAUAGAUUGGAAAUUUCCCUCGCAAAAAAUACCCUCCCUCGCAUUAGUCAAUGCGGAGGAUAAGUACAUCAUUAACCCCAAUAUUGAUGCAACCAAUAUGACUUCUCUUAGCAUUUUUCGCCAUGAGUUCUCGACGCCAAAAAGACCGGUCAACUUGAAUUCGAGAGCAAUGGAGCCUUGGCGAAAUAGUGAUUCCCUUGGCCAAUGCAUGAACAAAUUGCCGGCUUGCUUUGUGCCUCUUCUUCACCCUGGCAAAUAAUGUUCUCUUUCAUCCAACGUUUGGUGGUUGACACAGAAUAGUCGGUGCAGGUGGGCGAACACACCUUAACUGCUCUCCACUGUGUGUGGAUCUUCUGGGAGAAGUCGACACACGCACGUCCAUCUCUUGCACUCUCGUGCCCCUUCCUAGGUCGCAGCCAGCAAUCUCCCCACCACUCCGGUUCUCCUUUCCACGUUGCAAUGGCUGAUCUCAUCUCCCAAUCUCGUCGUCCUCCUCGUGCCGCCGCAACGAUCUGCUGCCCCACUCUUGUUGGGACCGUCCCUCUUGUUGUACUUGGUACGGUGCCGAGCUCUCCGCGGUCUGCACCAACGCACCAAUGUCGGGGAAACCGGAAACCACCACCACGGCACCACCUCACUGGCGCCGCCGCUCCUCCGCUGGUUGUAGCGCAGCAACAGUGCAACGGCACGGGUGGCUUAUACUGGUGCUGGGUGCGCCGGCGUUGUCCCCUGCGCUACGCGUGCGCCGACCUGGACGAAAGGCAACGGAUCCGGGAACCGCAUCUUACACCUACACCGACCGACCGACGCGGCCUUAUCUACUGAGCGGCGACGACUCAGCGACAGCACGCCCUCCUUCGACCAAGUGCUAGGACGAAAUCUCUCUGUCUUCUGCUUCUAGGUGUUUUUUUUUUUUUUUUGAAAACACUUCUAGGUGUUUUGGUUUGCUUGCUGGAGAGGCCGAGACAAAGGCAGCUUGAGUUCCUGCGUGUGUCGUGAGCACACGAGGAUCCACCUCCUAUUUCCGAUCCUAUGUCACGAUCACUGAGAUGUCAGGAAUCGUCGAGGGCACCAACAAAUUAAGGAAACACCAAUAUCAAAUUUGUUAACCAGAUCGACUAGCUAGAUAUCAAGAUGGAAAUGGAACGAAGGAAUCGGGGCACUACUGUCUUGAUGUAAUAUUGUAUACGUUCGUUUAUUUACUGGAAGUUUAGUUUUUUCUCUCCUCUGAGGAUAUAUACUUUCGCUUUUCCUCUUUCAUUGUUGAUCACAUAUAUUUUCAGACUAUGUUCACACAUGGAUUGAUGAGACAUGGUGGCUGUGACAAACAUGGGAGCUGAAUACACUUAGGCCAUGUCAAGCGCACGCGCCAGCUUUAGCUUCCGGGUUGAUUUGUCACUUUUCCUGGCUGUGCCUAGGAUUUUUGUAUGCAUCGGUGCCUAAUCAGUAGUCGGGUGCCUGAACUAUAUUCUACAGUGAGCAAUGUUUAUUUUCCAGCAUGCAAAUACCUGCAACUUUGGAGGCAGGGACGCCCAGGCAUGUAAGCGCCUGCAACCUGGUAUCCCGACGCGGUUGCGCUCUAUCGUGGGUGUGGACAUCCGUUUCGUCGCCUCCGACUGCCGUGAGUUCCUUAAUUUCCUCCUCCACGUUUGAGAUGAGUCUCUUACUUUACUCCACUGUAUUUCUUCAUCUAAUAUAAGGAGCUGAGGCAUGGGAAGUCGCCCAGUUUGUGAGCGGAAAUGUGUGUAGCAGAAGGAGCAGCUGGGACAUGGGGUUACUCUUGCGUAACCUGCCAACUGUUAUUUCUAAACUAUAAAAGUAAGAGAAUCAUCUGCAUUGCCCUUCAUUUUCAUUUUUUUAACAGGUGUGUAUGGUAUUGCUGAAUCCAUGAAUAUAUAGCAUCCAAUAUACUUGAGUUGAAUAUAGUCCAACGAUGUUACAUAUUUUCCCGACAUGUUUUUAAAGGGUAAUUAGCAGUUGUCAAUUCUACAGAUACAACAGAAUAGUAGUAGGUGUUGGAAAGAUCAUACGGUGGCCGUAACUGACGGAGGGAAGUCCUUCGCAUUUGGUGACAGCAGCCACGGCCAAUUGGGGACGGGUUCACUAAGUAGCGGUCGACUCCCUUGCCUUUUCCUUUAUAUUUAUGGUUGAUAGAUGACACUACUAGAAGUGUAGCAAAUACAAAUUAUACUAGUAGAACGCCCGUGCGUUGCUACGGGCUACAAUGCAUGUAAAAAAUCAAAUAAAUUAUUAACGUCGUCUUCAAGGUGAACUAAAAAAUAAUUCAAGGUCAAAGCUCAUUUCUCCCUCAUACGUCCGGGUAUGUUCGGAAAUAAAAUGAGCACCCAACGAGCUCCGUAAAAUUCUACCGUCUGUAAAUCCGGGCUACCAAAAUCUAGCCUGUAUGUGAGGUAUGGGUAAGGAAAAAUGUGGUUGUCUGAAGUAUCCACGAUGUUAUCUCCAACAUGCGGUCCCAACAAAAAAAAAC
Molecule: long non-coding RNA, 15147 nt
Filed under: Triticum aestivum (bread wheat)
Lineage: Eukaryota; Viridiplantae; Streptophyta; Magnoliopsida; Poales; Poaceae
Description: long non-coding RNA (TAES_LNC006141)
Rfam family: MIR1120/MIR1122 microRNA precursor family (bases 6442-6576)
Source: RNAcentral